Triticum aestivum (bread wheat) is the source of this 135-nucleotide non-coding RNA. Lineage: Eukaryota; Viridiplantae; Streptophyta; Magnoliopsida; Poales; Poaceae. The record is from Rfam.
CUUGUACUCCCUCCGUCCGAAAAUACUUGUCAUCAAAAUAGAUAAAAGGGGAUGUAUCUAGACGUAUUUUACUUCUACAUUCAUCUCUUUUUAUCCAUUUUGAUGACAAGUAUUUUCGGACGGAGGGAGUAUUUA